GAAAGGGUACAUAGGCACUAGGAACCAGGAACCACAGCCCUAAUUAGGUUAGUCACUGAACCAGAACGGUUCUCUCUACUCUCACUAAGUCAGCCUAGUGGAUAUGAGACGCUGUUGGUGGAGCAGAUGACAGCAAUGUUCUAACGAUGGGGCUGUAAUCAUCCCCGUGGUUGAGGCCCAGGCAGAGCUUUCCAAUGCUUCAGACAAUGGAGGAAGGAGGGACAUUCAUCAGGAGCCCAGCCUGUCUACACGGACGGCUCUAAAGGGACCCAGCUGUAGAGAUGUGUGACCAGAGGGCCAGACUGACUGCAGUGUAUCGCCAGCCUGAGGGCCAUACUGCAGUGUUUCCACAGACCCCAGCCACAGCCCAGCAACCACCAGCCCCUGAAGUGUCAUUGGAUGUUGGACAUUGGACACGGACUGGGAGAUGUGUGACAUGUCCAGGGUCUACAGGUCCAGACUCCAGUGUGGCCCCAGCCCAGCAAACAUCGGCCCCUGGAACCCCUACACUGUGGGAUCCUGUUCUCUGGAAACCUUGCUGUUGGAAACCUGCUUUGCUAAAGAUGACAUCUGGAAGCCUAGUUUUCCACAUCUCUCUGUUGUGUUUAUGUUUACGACCACUGGCAAAUCUAAUCUUGUUUCAUUAAAACCCUUUCCUUCAGUCAAAUUACCAAAUAUCCCUCUAGUGGCCUCAUGGGUGGAACAUUAUUAAAAUGUUUCAUAGUUUCAUAAUUAACAAACAAUAUUUUAAAAAAUAAAUAAUUUUAAACUCUUUAAGACCAUAGCCAUGUGUGUGAGGUGUAUUCUUUAGUUUCAAAGUAGAUUUUUUAAGACUACCAAAAGACACUCUGUGUGACCCUAAAUGAAGCCCGCUGCAGUACCUUUAUUAAAGUAUUCACUGGGCGGAGUCCAGCAGUACAGGACUAGAAUAGCAGGUUCUCCAAU
Long non-coding RNA from Oncorhynchus tshawytscha (Chinook salmon), 945 nucleotides. The record is from Ensembl. NCBI's taxonomy places the organism in Eukaryota, Metazoa, Chordata, Actinopteri, Salmoniformes, Salmonidae.